GGCUCCGACGAACUGCGACGGUUUCUGACCCUUUCUAGCCACCUUCUCUCUCACUCGGUCUUUCACUUUCUUUCUUUAUUUAUUUCUCUCUUACCACCUUCAUUCCUUCUUCCGCUAAUAUUUCACCUUUCUUUCCAUCCUUUUCAUCUUUAUCUCAAGAACGAGAAUCCAAUCAGUUUCAAAAUUCUCGCGUUUGCCGAAGGAAAACUCGCGAAUUUUUAUCACCCUAUUGAUCGAUUACUUAAAUUUUAAUAUUCCGCAUUUUAAUAUUUCUCUUAUAAAGUAUCGAACGAUUCCUACGUAUCACUCAUCGAAUUUAUUUCCAACAAAUACGGCGUUACUUUCGAAACUUUCUUUUUAUCACGAUUGAGACUACCGAGUUUACGAAUUCUAGGAAUGGCAGUAAAUUAUAUUCGUUCUUUCCAAGUUGACACUUCCCAUUUAUAAUUGGGAAAUGUAAAUACAAAGCAUACGUUGAUAUAAUAUGUGAAAGAAAAAUAAGACUCGUUGUAAGAUAGUUGUGCCUGAGUACUCGUUAUAAGAUCCUCAAAAAACUAAAAAGUAUCACUUUUCAAGAAUCGAAAUUUCCAUUCGAUCGACAGACCGAUCAAUCAAGUGCAUCGUAAUCUCAAAAAGAACUUUCUCGAAAUAUUGCAUUUCGAAUGGCAGUGGUUAUUUCAAUUUUUCGAUUUAUAAGAAAUUUCAAUCUCUUACGUUGAAGAUACUGACACGAUAAGUAUCACGUAUCCUCGUUGUUAUAAUGAACGUUAGAUAAAUAAUUAUUAAUCAUUUAAACAAAAUGAUCAUCAUGGACUUUUCGAAAAAUUUUAUAAGGGUUUUAAAAAGGUGAGAACGUCGUCUCGCGACGACAAAGGUUCAGCAGCAACAACAGCAGGUGCUGGCGCUACACCUGUCCGCAGGCUGAGAGCACCGGUCAGCUUGUGCGCCGAAGUCCGCUCGAAGCGUCGAAUUCCACUGUGUUUACUCAUUCGAAAAGAACGUACCAGCCGAAGACGGCCGUAGUCGACCGAGUCGAAGAGAAACCGCGUGUCCUCGGUGGCGCUAGCGUCGAACUUCUCGGUUAAAAAGAGAAAGAAGAUUUACUUAUGUUCAGAAUAAUGUGUAAUGAUGGAUGUCGAUGGUGUUCAACGUCGUUUUUAUAAAAACUCUGAUUUUCACAUUCAACACAAUCCUCUGCAGACGUAGUAUAUUUAACUUUAAGUUAACCAUUACUUAUUAUCAAUAUUUUUAUUAAUGAUAAGCUUUAUAUGUGCAAGUAAAAAUCUCAAAUUUAGAUAUGUGUAUAUAUAAACACACAAACACACAUACAUGCAAAUAUAUAUAAUCACUUUUGAAGGAGAUACAAUUAACUGGUAUCGGAGAGAACGAUUGACUUUAUUAACCUUGGAAGAUGUUCAUAAAUGACCUGUAAUAAUGGCGGUGGGUCGUAUUGCAUAAUAAUCGACUGGCAUCGUCGUAGCGAGAGUGAAAGCAACUCGUAGAUGCGAGCCAAGCGCAUUAAAAUCGUCUAACCGCAGUGGUAUGGAGCUCUUACCGUAUCUUCUAUUUAUUAUCUGUAGAUAACUAACAAGAUUUAACGACGCUUUUCGAAUUUCUACCGAAAGACAAGAUUGUAUUGAAUAUUUCAAAACAAUCGAUGUAAGUAUAAAACUUUCCAAAUAGUUAUGAUAGACAAUUUGUUUCAAAAACAUUUGGUUCUAGUCAAUGUUAUCAUAUCUUUAAAUUAUAUUUUACUUUUUGAUAACUUUUUAAAUUUUAUAGAUUUUUUCAAUAAUAAUCGUAGAUAAUUUCGAAAAAAUAUUUCAUAAAACCGUAAUUUAUUCAUUUUUAUGUAUUCUAAUUUUGAGUAUGUACAUUAAUCGUAAAAAUAUUUUCUUAGAAUAUAAGGUGGUACUCAACCUUUAUAAUAACCUUUAUAAAAACAAGCGAGAUGAAUCGGGAAACUAUUUAUAAAAAGACACAUUGAAAUAUUGUAAUGUGAGUUGUCGUUCGCUUUCGGCAGAGAAAGCUUAAAAUAAGUAUAAAAAAAGCAUCAACGUUGUCUGCUGUUUCGAU
Vespula vulgaris is the source of this 2076-nucleotide long non-coding RNA. RefSeq lists it as uncharacterized. The record is from RefSeq and is a predicted model, not a curated record. The transcript has 2 exons. Lineage: Eukaryota; Metazoa; Arthropoda; Insecta; Hymenoptera; Vespidae.